This 1917-nucleotide long non-coding RNA is filed under the name Oryza sativa Indica Group (long-grained rice). RNAcentral describes it as "lncRNA OsMH63_08G018580". Lineage: Eukaryota; Viridiplantae; Streptophyta; Magnoliopsida; Poales; Poaceae. The record is from RNAcentral.
GCGACGAACAAUGCGACCUCGCCGCGAUCGUGGCUGGCGGGCUACACCUUCGCCGACGUGCUCACUGCAGCGGCGUGUGCUCCAGAGGGCAAGCCACGCGGCGUGCUCACGGCGGCGGCGUGUGCCCCAGGGGGCAAGCCACGCGGCGGUAAUAGGGCUGAGGGGGUCAGCUUUGACCAGAUCAAGGGGAAGGUGCCAUUGGAAGCGUUCGGAGAGGUCGCCUCCUCCUCGGCGACGGCGAACUCAUCGGCUCUUCCGGCAACGAGCCACUGCCAUGAGGGCCCUUCUCCGCAGUUCCCACGAGAGAAACUUGAUGCAGGCUUCCGUGAGUGGGUGUGGGUGAGAAAGGGUUCGCUCUCUCCGCAGCUAGGGUUUCCGGCGAGAAGCGAAGAAAUCCGGCGAUUCGGCGACUCCGCAAGCCGGAUCUGGAGAGUUCUGGAGAGAAGGUGUGAUCACCGCACUUUCGCGCAAGUGGUGAUGAAGCGACGUCCCCCUCCAGGCCGUCCGGAUUGGCAAGCGAACAAGAGGAAGGCGAUGGAGUCGGGAGGUGGAGGUGGUGAUUGGGGUCGACAAGCUGGAGGCGACUGGGGGAAGCAAGCCGGUGGAAGUUGGGCGCACCGUGAGGAAGAGGAACUUCGCAAGCAGCUUCUAGCAAAAGGAAAUCAAGCUGUGGGAGAUCCACGUCGUCCUGGUCGCCCUGGCCAAGAGCAGGGUUAUCCUCCUUAUGAUAAUUCACAAUUCCCCCCGGAUGAUGAUGAUGAUAAGGACAAGAAGGGUAAUGGUGAUAAUGAUGACAUGAAUGUGGAUGAAGAUCAAAAUACUCAAAGCCCAGCUAGAGGUAGAUCAGCCCAUGAUAGAAGAUCUUUCAUGGGAGGUUCCAGAGGUGAUGUUCAAUCAGCCCCUCCUGCUUACAAAGGGAAAAAGGCAUUGGAAGAGACAUGCCUGAGUGAGACUCAGCAGUGUCCUACUAAGAGGGCUGCCUGUAAAAAACAAAGUCUGCUGGUGGUGGAAAAGGAGAGUAUGGUAGAUCAAGAGGGUGACUCUAAAGCAAUGGUAGUGUGGGAGCGAAACACAACACAAGAUGUAGAAUAUGAAUCUCAGGAGAUUGAUUUCCCUGUCACACAAAAAUCGACUGAGGAAGGUGAUAAUGAGGAUGUGUUGACUGGAAUCUUAGAGUUUGAAAAAUGUGACAUUCCAUCUUUAUUUGACAUUGCAAGACAGAGAGAGGAGGAAGAGUUGGAUGAGGAAGAUAGCUUUCAGGAGGUUUCCUACAAAAAGAAGAACAGACCUAAAAAAUCUGAACCUACAAUCACUUCUAGAAUGAGUUUGAGAAACAGAGACAUGGCCUCAGUCCCCAUUCCUAAGACAGCUGAGCUGCUUACUCAAAAGAAGAACCUGGAGACUGGAGGUAACUCUAACCCCUUUGUUGUUUUUCAAAUUAUUGAUCCUGUUGAGCUGAAUAGUAUUGCUAUAGCUGCUAAUAUCUCUCUAGGAAGUAAUGAGGAAGAAAUUGCAAAUACCAUUGAGACCAUUAAGGCUAAAGAGUUGGUUCAAGCUAAAUUAGCUGAGAUGAGAUGGAAAAAAGAGAAGGAAAAGGAGAUGAUAGAUGUUGACUCUUUAUUGAGAAAUGAGAAAGAGCUCCCAGAGAACAUGGGGGAAGAGUGGAAGGCUUUAUGUCGCUCUGAGGAAGUUGCUCUGAUGGAUCACAUUGCUGUGAAGCUGAAAGGGAUGAUUUCAAGCCUGGGGGCGCAAAGAACUGGAAACAGCAACAUCAGGAGUGAAAGGCUCUUUAGCAAUGGCGAUCUAGCGAGCAAUAUCUCCAAUCCUUUUGCUCCAUCUAGGAAGCCAACAUCUGAUAAUCUUAGACUGGUUAGAUUUGGGAACCCCGCGAAGCAGGUUGGCAACCCUGGGAUGUAG